ACAUCGUAUUAGUGGGGCAGAUGGCCACCCAAUGAUCUCGUAUUGAACCGUCGGAUCGCCAAUCAAGAUUGGUUUGGACUCAUCUUCUCAUAUUUGGAUGCUUGGACCUGCCUAGGUCGCGUCUGGGUCUAGAUCUGGCAUGGACCCUAUCGGGUUUUGUCGGACCGGGUUGAGUCGACCUGGUAGGAAAAAAAUAAUUAAUAUAUAUAACAUAUAUAUUUUCACUAAAUUUUAUUUAUUAUCAUUUUGACUAGAAUAAAACAUAUAUAUUACAUAGUAUAGAACUUAAUGUUUUUAAAUUUUUAGACCCGGGUCUGGGUCCAUGUAAGCCUAGCUAGGUAGGUUCCAGAUCUGGGUUGGGGUCCAAUUGACACAAAACCCUACCCCACCCAUAAUCUUCGUAUCCUAUAAAUUAUAAAUAUAAGUCAUAGCUCAAGAACCCACCCAAAAAGGUUGUCUUUAAUGUUUGAAAUUUUUUCAAGUGAUCAUCUCGACCUCAACAUAUAGAACUAUGAAUAAAAGAUUUUAAGUCAUAAAAUAAUGUAUUCUAUAACAAAUUAUCUGGACCUGUCUAUUUCCAAAAUGGUUAGUCUGCUUAAUUCUUGGAACUUUAUCGUUCGUAGUUACAGGUUAGCAUACAUGUAUUUAUGUCAAAACUAGGUCUACAUAAAUCGAUGGAUUGCAUGUUAUAAUUUGAUGGAGCAUGAUGAACCUAUUGCAUUUUGAAUAUUUAUAAUCACAUACUUAUGUUAAAUAGACGUGACUUGUGUAAUUUUGUUUACAUAGGAAUAUGUUUUUUUUCUUUUGUAUUCAUUGUAUAACAAAUGUAGGAUCACAUUCGAGAGUUAUUUUUGAUGUGAUGAAGUGACAUUAUAUUAAUACACGUAUAAUAAUCACAAAAAACUCACGAGUGAGUGAGUAUGGGCAGGCCACAGGUUCGGGUGCGUGUACAUAAAACACUCUCUCUAUCUUAUGUGACAUCUCCCUCAACCAGUCUUCUGGGAGUAGAAAAGCAGAGAAUCCUCUCUCUAAAUCAAGAGUUCAAUUACUUGGGAAGCCGGAUGGUGAAGUACAAUAUUACUUUAACAUGAAUUACUUUGGAGACAGGCUUGUUUUAGAGCAGCAAGUUUUUCAUGUACAUUCCGAGAGGAUUUCGGGUUCGAGGGCAUGAAGAGCCUCUCUCUCUCGCCUUCAGACCGUCUGACCUCGAGGAGGUGUGCCAUUUGACAAGGAAGGGUUCUUUUGAAGAGGACAAGACCUUCUGUGCUUUUGCUAGGAGAUUGGCUCAAGUCGAUCGCAUGUAGGGAAUGAUGUGUCCAUUCCAUGAUUUGGAUCAACACAAUACAUCUUAAAUUAGUUUAAGGGGGGAAUAAUGAUAUUAUCACUGUUGCCGCGA
Non-coding RNA from Amborella trichopoda, 1396 nucleotides. The record is from RefSeq and is a predicted model, not a curated record. Lineage: Eukaryota; Viridiplantae; Streptophyta; Magnoliopsida; Amborellales; Amborellaceae.